GGUUAAGCGACUAAGCGUACACGGUGGAUGCCCUGGCAGUCAGAGGCGAUGAAGGACGUGCUAAUCUGCGAUAAGCGUCGGUAAGGUGAUAUGAACCGUUAUAACCGGCGAUUUCCGAAUGGGGAAACCCAGUGUGAUUCGUCACACUAUCAUUAACUGAAUCCAUAGGUUAAUGAGGCGAACCGGGGGAACUGAAACAUCUAAGUACCCCGAGGAAAAGAAAUCAACCGAGAUUCCCCCAGUAGCGGCGAGCGAACGGGGAGGAGCCCAGAGCCUGAAUCAGUGUGUGUGUUAGUGGAAGCGUCUGGAAAGGCGCGCGAUACAGGGUGACAGCCCCGUACACAAAAAUGCACAUGCUGUGAGCUCGAUGAGUAGGGCGGGACACGUGGUAUCCUGUCUGAAUAUGGGGGGACCAUCCUCCAAGGCUAAAUACUCCUGACUGACCGAUAGUGAACCAGUACCGUGAGGGAAAGGCGAAAAGAACCCCGGCGAGGGGAGUGAAAAAGAACCUGAAACCGUGUACGUACAAGCAGUGGGAGCCUCUUUAUGGGGUGACUGCGUACCUUUUGUAUAAUGGGUCAGCGACUUAUAUUCUGUAGCAAGGUUAACCGAAUAGGGGAGCCGAAGGGAAACCGAGUCUUAACUGGGCGUUAAGUUGCAGGGUAUAGACCCGAAACCCGGUGAUCUAGCCAUGGGCAGGUUGAAGGUUGGGUAACACUAACUGGAGGACCGAACCGACUAAUGUUGAAAAAUUAGCGGAUGACUUGUGGCUGGGGGUGAAAGGCCAAUCAAACCGGGAGAUAGCUGGUUCUCCCCGAAAGCUAUUUAGGUAGCGCCUCGUGAAUUCAUCUCCGGGGGUAGAGCACUGUUUCGGCAAGGGGGUCAUCCCGACUUACCAACCCGAUGCAAACUGCGAAUACCGGAGAAUGUUAUCACGGGAGACACACGGCGGGUGCUAACGUCCGUCGUGAAGAGGGAAACAACCCAGACCGCCAGCUAAGGUCCCAAAGUCAUGGUUAAGUGGGAAACGAUGUGGGAAGGCCCAGACAGCCAGGAUGUUGGCUUAGAAGCAGCCAUCAUUUAAAGAAAGCGUAAUAGCUCACUGGUCGAGUCGGCCUGCGCGGAAGAUGUAACGGGGCUAAACCAUGCACCGAAGCUGCGGCAGCGACACUAUGUGUUGUUGGGUAGGGGAGCGUUCUGUAAGCCUGCGAAGGUGUACUGUGAGGUAUGCUGGAGGUAUCAGAAGUGCGAAUGCUGACAUAAGUAACGAUAAAGCGGGUGAAAAGCCCGCUCGCCGGAAGACCAAGGGUUCCUGUCCAACGUUAAUCGGGGCAGGGUGAGUCGACCCCUAAGGCGAGGCCGAAAGGCGUAGUCGAUGGGAAACAGGUUAAUAUUCCUGUACUUGGUGUUACUGCGAAGGGGGGACGGAGAAGGCUAUGUUGGCCGGGCGACGGUUGUCCCGGUUUAAGCGUGUAGGCUGGUUUUCCAGGCAAAUCCGGAAAAUCAAGGCUGAGGCGUGAUGACGAGGCACUACGGUGCUGAAGCAACAAAUGCCCUGCUUCCAGGAAAAGCCUCUAAGCAUCAGGUAACAUCAAAUCGUACCCCAAACCGACACAGGUGGUCAGGUAGAGAAUACCAAGGCGCUUGAGAGAACUCGGGUGAAGGAACUAGGCAAAAUGGUGCCGUAACUUCGGGAGAAGGCACGCUGAUACGUAGGUGAAGUCCCUCGCGGAUGGAGCUGAAAUCAGUCGAAGAUACCAGCUGGCUGCAACUGUUUAUUAAAAACACAGCACUGUGCAAACACGAAAGUGGACGUAUACGGUGUGACGCCUGCCCGGUGCCGGAAGGUUAAUUGAUGGGGUUAGCGGUAACGCGAAGCUCUUGAUCGAAGCCCCGGUAAACGGCGGCCGUAACUAUAACGGUCCUAAGGUAGCGAAAUUCCUUGUCGGGUAAGUUCCGACCUGCACGAAUGGCGUAAUGAUGGCCAGGCUGUCUCCACCCGAGACUCAGUGAAAUUGAACUCGCUGUGAAGAUGCAGUGUACCCGCGGCAAGACGGAAAGACCCCGUGAACCUUUACUAUAGCUUGACACUGAACAUUGAGCCUUGAUGUGUAGGAUAGGUGGGAGGCUUUGAAGUGUGGACGCCAGUCUGCAUGGAGCCGACCUUGAAAUACCACCCUUUAAUGUUUGAUGUUCUAACGUUGGCCCCUAAUCGGGGUUGCGGACAGUGUCUGGUGGGUAGUUUGACUGGGGCGGUCUCCUCCUAAAGAGUAACGGAGGAGCACGAAGGUUGGCUAAUCCUGGUCGGACAUCAGGAGGUUAGUGCAAUGGCAUAAGCCAGCUUGACUGCGAGCGUGACGGCGCGAGCAGGUGCGAAAGCAGGUCAUAGUGAUCCGGUGGUUCUGAAUGGAAGGGCCAUCGCUCAACGGAUAAAAGGUACUCCGGGGAUAACAGGCUGAUACCGCCCAAGAGUUCAUAUCGACGGCGGUGUUUGGCACCUCGAUGUCGGCUCAUCACAUCCUGGGGCUGAAGUAGGUCCCAAGGGUAUGGCUGUUCGCCAUUUAAAGUGGUACGCGAGCUGGGUUUAGAACGUCGUGAGACAGUUCGGUCCCUAUCUGCCGUGGGCGCUGGAGAACUGAGGGGGGCUGCUCCUAGUACGAGAGGACCGGAGUGGACGCAUCACUGGUGUUCGGGUUGUCAUGCCAAUGGCACUGCCCGGUAGCUAAAUGCGGAAGAGAUAAGUGCUGAAAGCAUCUAAGCACGAAACUUGCCCCGAGAUGAGUUCUCCCUGACUCCUUGAGAGUCCUGAAGGAACGUUGAAGACGACGACGUUGAUAGGCCGGGUGUGUAAGCGCAGCGAUGCGUUGAGCUAACCGGUACUAAUGAACCGUGAGGCUUAACCUU
Molecule: ribosomal RNA, 2904 nt
Filed under: Escherichia coli
Lineage: Bacteria; Pseudomonadati; Pseudomonadota; Gammaproteobacteria; Enterobacterales; Enterobacteriaceae
Description: 23S ribosomal RNA
Rfam family: Bacterial large subunit ribosomal RNA
Source: RNAcentral